RNAcentral lists this long non-coding RNA (207 nucleotides) under Mytilus galloprovincialis (Mediterranean mussel). The record is from RNAcentral. Lineage: Eukaryota; Metazoa; Mollusca; Bivalvia; Mytilida; Mytilidae.
UUUUUAUUAUUUAUAACUUCCAAUUUACAACAUAAUAUACACAAAUAUAAUAGCAAUAUAUAAUAUAUAAAUCUAUAGAUAUUAUCUAAUCAAUACAUCUUUCUAUUAGGAAGCAAAUUUUUUUUUUUUUUAAAUAUACAAAUAUAAGAUAAAGAGUAAAGCAGUUUGAACACCGGAGAGAGAGAGAGAGAGAGAGAGAUAGAAAGA